GAUCAUGGCUCAGAUUGAACGCUGGCGGCAUGCCUUACACAUGCAAGUCGAACGGCAGCAUGGAGAGCUUGCUCUCUGAUGGCGAGUGGCGAACGGGUGAGUAAUACAUCGGAACGUGUCCGUUUGUGGGGGACAACCGUCCGAAAGGAUGGCUAAUACCGCAUAAGACCUGAGGUGAAGCGGGACGCAGCCGGCGCAGACGGAGCGGCCGAUGAUUGAUUAG
RNAcentral lists this ribosomal RNA (223 nucleotides) under uncultured bacterium. Its description in RNAcentral is "partial 16S ribosomal RNA". It matches the Rfam family "Bacterial small subunit ribosomal RNA", at positions 15 to 244 of the family's 1533-position model. The record is from RNAcentral.